UGGGGAAUAUUGCACAAUGGGGGAAACCCUGAUGCAGCGACGCCGCGUGAACGAAGAAGGUAUUCGUAUCGUAAAGUUCUGUCCUAUGGGAAGAUAAUGACAGUACCAUAGAAGAAAGCUCCGGCUAAAUACGUGCCAGCAGCCGCGGUAAUACGUAUGGAGCGAGCGUUGUCCGGAAUUAUUGGGCGUAAAGGGUACGCAGGCGGUUUAAUAAGUCGAAUGUUAAAGAUCGGGGCUCAACCCCGCAAAGCAUUGGAAACUGAUAAACUUGAGUAGAGGAGAGGAAAGUGGAAUUCCUAGUGUAGUGGUGAAAUACGUAGAUAUUAGGAGGAAUACCAGUAGCGAAGGCGACUUUCUGGACACAAACUGACGCUGAGGUACGAAAGCGUGGGGAGCAAACAGG
This 403-nucleotide ribosomal RNA is filed under the name bacterium. Its description in RNAcentral is "partial 16S ribosomal RNA". It matches the Rfam family "Bacterial small subunit ribosomal RNA", at positions 355 to 776 of the family's 1533-position model. The record is from RNAcentral.